CGGGUUAAUACAACUCCUCAUCUGUGCAGUUCGGCUCCAGUUGUAAAUUCUAAAUAUGGGAGAUGUCUGGAUUGGGGAAAAAAUGGUACUAAAGUGAUAUCGGUAUUUACAAGUGUGACACCUUACGACCAUUAUGGAUGCACUUUUUCAUAGAUAAAUGUGCUAUCGCCAUCAGUAAUGCGGAUUUCUGUUCCAUAUACAAUCCAUGAACAUUCGCCAGUUUCAUUAAGAUGAUUUGAAGUAUCAAAUUCCCAUGAUGCCUGCACGUUGUAACCCAAGUGAUCAGGGUACAAGAUACCAUUUGGAGCCUUCAACCUUGCCAUUCGAAGCCUUUUCAAUGGAACUAUGAUUUAGCUUUGAUCUUAUUUAUGCAGUUGAGUUUUUUUAAUUUCAUCUUGGCUCCAUUUAAAUUUAUUUUAGUGCCGAAAAAUGAAUACAUAAAUGGUCUGCUCGAUGGAAAUGUGAUUAAGUAGGUAGUCAACAUUACUUGAGGAUAUCGAUACAUCUUUCAAGAUGUUUUAUUCUAUUCUGAGA
This is a long non-coding RNA of Argiope bruennichi, 534 nucleotides long. RefSeq lists it as uncharacterized. The transcript is spliced from 3 exons. Lineage: Eukaryota; Metazoa; Arthropoda; Arachnida; Araneae; Araneidae. The record is from RefSeq and is a predicted model, not a curated record.